GAUGAACGCUAGCGGCAGGCCUAACACAUGCAAGUCGAGGGGCAGCAUAAAAUUAGCUUGCUAAUUUGGUGGCGACCGGCGCACGGGUGCGUAACGCGUAUGCAACCUACCUUAUACUGGGGGAUAGCCCGGAGAAAUUCGGAUUAAUACCCCAUAGUAUUGUUAAAUCGCAUGGUUUGAUAAUUAAAGGUUACGGUAUAAGAUGGGCAUGCGUCCUAUUAGCUAGAUGGUGAGGUAACGGCUCACCAUGGCGACGAUAGGUAGGGGGCCUGAGAGGGUGGUCCCCCACACUGGUACUGAGACACGGACCAGACUCCUACGGGAGGCAGCAGUGAGGAAUAUUGGUCAAUGGGCGCAAGCCUGAACCAGCCAUGCCGCGUGCAGGAAGAAUGCCCUAUGGGUUGUAAACUGCUUUUAUUGGAAUAAACCUCUUUACGUGUAGAGAGCUGAAGGUACCAAAUGAAUAAGCACCGGCUAACUCCGUGCCAGCAGCCG
This 495-nucleotide ribosomal RNA is filed under the name uncultured bacterium. RNAcentral's name for it is "bacterial SSU rRNA". It matches the Rfam family "Bacterial small subunit ribosomal RNA", at positions 28 to 517 of the family's 1533-position model. The record is from RNAcentral.